UCCCCGGCAGCCCGGUCGGUAGAGCAGAUGGCUGUUAACCCUCGGAGCCGUGGUUCGAAUCCGCACCGGGGAGCCA
RNAcentral lists this transfer RNA (76 nucleotides) under Syntrophus sp. PtaB.Bin138. RNAcentral's name for it is "tRNA-Asn". It matches the Rfam family "tRNA". Rfam says of the family: Transfer RNA (tRNA) molecules are approximately 80 nucleotides in length. Their secondary structure includes four short double-helical elements and three loops (D, anti-codon, and T loops). Further hydrogen bonds mediate the characteristic L-shaped molecular structure. tRNAs have two regions of fundamental functional importance: the anti-codon, which is responsible for specific mRNA codon recognition, and the 3' end, to which the tRNAs corresponding amino acid is attached (by aminoacyl-tRNA synthetases). tRNAs cope with the degeneracy of the genetic code in two manners: having more than one tRNA (with a specific anti-codon) for a particular amino acid; and 'wobble' base-pairing, i.e. permitting non-standard base-pairing at the 3rd anti-codon position. The record is from RNAcentral. RNAcentral also lists the same sequence under 1 other name. Lineage: Bacteria; Pseudomonadati; Thermodesulfobacteriota; Syntrophia; Syntrophales; Syntrophaceae.